GAUCCUGGCUUAGGAUGAACGCUAGCGACAGGCUUAACACAUGCAAGUCGAGGGGCAGCAAUAAAAGUAGCAAUACUUGGUGGCGACCGGCGCACGGGUGAGUAACGCGUAUGCAACCUACCUAUCAGAGGGGAAUAACCCGGCGAAAGUCGGACUAAUACCGCAUAAAACAGGGGCACCGCAUGGUGAUAUUUGUUAAAGAAAUUCGCUGAUAGAUGGGCAUGCGUUCCAUUAGGUAGUUGGUGAGGUAACGGCUCACCAAGCCGACGAUGGAUAGGGGAACUGAGAGGUUGGUCCCCCACACUGGUACUGAGACACGGACCAGACUCCUACGGGAGGCAGCAGUGAGGAAUAUUGGUCAAUGGGCGAGAGCCUGAACCAGCCAAGUCGCGUGAAGGAAGAAGGAUCUAUGGUUCGUAAACUUCUUUUGCAGGGGAAUAAAGUGCAGGACGUGUCCUGUUUUGUAUGUACCCUGAGAAUAAGGAUCGGCUAACUCCGUGCCAGCCGCGGC
RNAcentral lists this ribosomal RNA (511 nucleotides) under uncultured bacterium. Its description in RNAcentral is "bacterial SSU rRNA". It matches the Rfam family "Bacterial small subunit ribosomal RNA", at positions 15 to 518 of the family's 1533-position model. The record is from RNAcentral.